Molecule: ribosomal RNA, 495 nt
Filed under: uncultured bacterium
Lineage: Bacteria
Description: partial 16S ribosomal RNA
Rfam family: Bacterial small subunit ribosomal RNA
Source: RNAcentral
GACGAACGCUGGCGGCGUGCCUAAUACAUGCAAGUAGAACGCUGAAGGAGGAGCUUGCUCUUCUGGAUGAGUUGCGAACGGGUGAGUAACGCGUAGGUAACCUGCCUGGUAGCGGGGGAUAACUAUUGGAAACGAUAGCUAAUACCGCAUAAGAGUAGAUGUUGCAUGACAUUUACUUAAAAGGUGCAAUUGCAUCACUACCAGAUGGACCUGCGUUGUAUUAGCUAGUUGGAGGGGUAACGGCUUACCAAGGCGACGAUACAUAGCCGACCUGAGAGGGUGAUCGGCCACACUGGGACUGAGACACGGCCCAGACUCCUACGGGAGGCAGCAGUAGGGAAUCUUCGGCAAUGGACGGAAGUCUGACCGAGCAACGCCGCGUGAGUGAAGAAGGUUUUCGGAUCGUAAAGCUCUGUUGUAAGAGAAGAACGAGUGUGAGAGUGGAAAGUUCACACUGUGACGGUAUCUUACCAGAAAGGGACGGCUAACUACGUG